RNAcentral lists this ribosomal RNA (638 nucleotides) under Bacillus subtilis. Its description in RNAcentral is "bacterial SSU rRNA". It matches the Rfam family "Bacterial small subunit ribosomal RNA", at positions 58 to 678 of the family's 1533-position model. Lineage: Bacteria; Bacillati; Bacillota; Bacilli; Caryophanales; Bacillaceae. The record is from RNAcentral.
CAAGUCGAGCGGACAGAUGGGAGCUUGCUCCCUGAUGUUAGCGGCGGACGGGUGAGUAACACGUGGGUAACCUGCCUGUAAGACUGGGAUAACUCCGGGAAACCGGGGCUAAUACCGGAUGGUUGUUUGAACCGCAUGGUUCAAACAUAAAAGGUGGCUUCGGCUACCACUUACAGAUGGACCCGCGGCGCAUUAGCUAGUUGGUGAGGUAACGGCUCACCAAGGCAACGAUGCGUAGCCGACCUGAGAGGGUGAUCGGCCACACUGGGACUGAGACACGGCCCAGACUCCUACGGGAGGCAGCAGUAGGGAAUCUUCCGCAAUGGACGAAAGUCUGACGGAGCAACGCCGCGUGAGUGAUGAAGGUUUUCGGAUCGUAAAGCUCUGUUGUUAGGGAAGAACAAGUACCGUUCGAAUAGGGCGGUACCUUGACGGUACCUAACCAGAAAGCCACGGCUAACUACGUGCCAGCAGCCGCGGUAAUACGUAGGUGGCAAGCGUUGUCCGGAAUUAUUGGGCGUAAAGGGCUCGCAGGCGGUUUCUUAAGUCUGAUGUGAAAGCCCCCGGCUCAACCGGGGAGGGUCAUUGGAAACUGGGGAACUUGAGUGCAGAAGAGGAGAGUGGAAUUCCACGUGUAG